ACGCUCGACACCUACGGGGCAGCAGUAGGGAAUCUUCCACAAUGGGCGCAAGCCUGAUGGAGCAACACCGCGUGAGUGAAGAAGGGUUUCGGCUCGUAAAGCUCUGUUGUUGGAGAAGAACGUGCGUGAGAGUAACUGUUCACGCAGUGACGGUAUCCAACCAGAAAGUCACGGCUAACUACGUGUCAGCAGCCGCGGUAAUCUGAGCGGGCUGGCAAGGC
Molecule: ribosomal RNA, 221 nt
Filed under: uncultured bacterium
Lineage: Bacteria
Description: partial 16S ribosomal RNA
Rfam family: Bacterial small subunit ribosomal RNA
Source: RNAcentral